This 213-nucleotide long non-coding RNA is filed under the name Nicotiana benthamiana. RNAcentral's name for it is "long non-coding RNA (NBEN_LNC007349)". Lineage: Eukaryota; Viridiplantae; Streptophyta; Magnoliopsida; Solanales; Solanaceae. The record is from RNAcentral.
GAAAUGAUUGGAAACAUACUGGAAACUACAGUGAGCAUUCCAAUGGGAGAAUCUGGAUACUGUGGAAUUCAAAAGUGGAGCUGCAAGUAUUGAAGAUUGAUGAACAAUUUAUUCAUUGUGAGGUUAAAGAAAGAGGUUCCACCUUCAGAACACUGCUAACAGUCGUGUAUGCAAAUAAUGAAUUGAACAAGAGACAGCAACUUUGGGCCAAAU